CCAUAAACUUCGAUGAGGAAUAGUAAAAGGCUCCAUCCUUUUUAGAGAGCAUAUGGUUGGUGGAAAUAUGCAGGAUGACUUUUGAACUCGCCUCUGAGUUCUAUUGCUGAAAACUAGUAAGCAGUAGCGGCGCCGGUCGUUAUCACGUUGAGGCACAGUUGUGCAAAUUUAGGUGGUACCACGUUGAUAAACGUCCUAUGA
RNAcentral lists this non-coding RNA (201 nucleotides) under Enterococcus canis. RNAcentral's name for it is "T-box sequence". It matches the Rfam family "T-box leader". Rfam says of the family: Uncharged tRNA acts as the effector for transcription antitermination of genes in the T-box leader family. T-boxes are found upstream of many aminoacyl-tRNA synthetase genes and some amino acid biosynthetic genes usually in Gram-positive bacteria. The anticodon of a specific tRNA base pairs to a specifier sequence within the T-box motif, and the NCCA acceptor tail of the tRNA base pairs to a conserved bulge in the T-box antiterminator hairpin. The record is from RNAcentral. Lineage: Bacteria; Bacillati; Bacillota; Bacilli; Lactobacillales; Enterococcaceae.